This 84-nucleotide transfer RNA is filed under the name Rhamnusium bicolor. RNAcentral describes it as "tRNA-OTHER". Lineage: Eukaryota; Metazoa; Arthropoda; Insecta; Coleoptera; Cerambycidae. The record is from RNAcentral.
GGCAUGGUAGCCGAGUGGGUAAAGCGCUUAUAACUAUUUACUCGUUAUCGAAUAUCGAUGGUUCGAAUCCAUCCCGGAGCAACA